GGAGGGGGGACGCGGGAGCAGCGCGGCUGGCGCAGGAGUGUCUGAAAUGGGGAGGUGAAUCGAUAGAGUGGAGGGCUGAGAGUUGCGAGGCGAGAGAGAAGGCGCAAUUCUGAAGACAGAAAGUUGGGUGAGAAAAGGGGGGGAGCUUGCUCUCAAGGGGAGUGAUGGAGACAGAGGAAAAGAGCGUAGGGCUCGGUAGGCAAAAGCCUGAGAAGGGGUGUCAGGAGAAGGAACUGCGAUUUUAAAAAGAAGGGAGAGCUACCGGAAAGGAAAGACAGCAGCAGGGAGGGGCUGUGGCGAGCGGGCGAGCGCUGUCCAGGGUAGAGGUGAGUGGGCUGGGCUGAGGCAACGGUCGGGAGAAAUCCCGGGAAGGCGGCAGGCUGGGAGAGGAACCCCACAGGGGAAGCUCGGGGUCUCCCAGCACCCUGCCGCCCCCUGCUGGGGCGCUGCCAUUUGACAGAAGUAGAGUCUGGGAGGAGGCGGAGCCGAGGCAAGUGCAGCCAAGCAGGGAGAUGGGAGGGACCGCAGCCUCGCAGAACAUCGGGACUGGAGACAGAAACAGGGUCAAGUAAGACUUGGAGCAGAUUCGGACUGUGGAGAGACGGGAAAAUGAAAUGAGAGGAUCCUGCCGCAAGGAAAAAACCUUAGGAUUACCUCGCCUGACCUCUCACUCAAUGUUAUCGUGAAC
Condylura cristata (star-nosed mole) is the source of this 688-nucleotide long non-coding RNA. RefSeq lists it as uncharacterized. The record is from RefSeq and is a predicted model, not a curated record. NCBI's taxonomy places the organism in Eukaryota, Metazoa, Chordata, Mammalia, Eulipotyphla, Talpidae. The transcript is spliced from 3 exons.